CUUCUCCAGAAGAAAGUUUAUAAAAGGCAAGAGCUAUCCUGCCUUCCCAGUGGCAGUUUUCAAACAUUUGAAAGAUGUUAGCUGGAAGGCAGCUGCCUUUGUGCAGUGCACAGUCUGCAUAACCAACCACAGCAGUCCUGAUCCCAGAGAUGACCUAAUAUGAUAGAA
Molecule: long non-coding RNA, 168 nt
Organism: Suricata suricatta (meerkat)
Lineage: Eukaryota; Metazoa; Chordata; Mammalia; Carnivora; Herpestidae
Exons: 3
Source: RefSeq, a predicted model, not a curated record